This 485-nucleotide ribosomal RNA is filed under the name uncultured Bacteroidota bacterium. RNAcentral's name for it is "bacterial SSU rRNA". It matches the Rfam family "Bacterial small subunit ribosomal RNA", at positions 895 to 1382 of the family's 1533-position model. The record is from RNAcentral. Lineage: Bacteria; Pseudomonadati; Bacteroidota.
AGAAACUCAAAGGAAUUGACGGGGCCCGCGACAAGCGGUGGAGCAUGUGGUUAAUUCGAUGAUACGCGAGGAACCUUAACCUGGGCUCAAAUGUAUGUUGACGUAUUCUGAAAGGGAUACUUCUUCGGACAAUAUGCAAGGUGCUGCAUGGUUGUCGUCAGCUCGUGCCGUGAGGUGUCGGGUUAAGUCCCAUAACGAGCGCAACCCCUAUUGUUAGUUGCCAUCAGGUCAUGCUGGGGACUCUAACAAAACUGCCCGCGUAAGCGUGGAGGAAGGUGGGGAUGACGUCAAAUCAGCACGGCCCUUACGUCCAGGGCUACACACGUGCUACAAUGGCCGGUACAGAGGGCAGCCACUUGGUGACAAGGAGCAAAUCUCAAAAGCCGGUCUCAGUUCGGAUCGGAGUCUGCAACUCGACUCCGUGAAGUUGGAUUCGCUAGUAAUCGUAGAUCAGCAAUGCUACGGUGAAUACGUUCCCGGGCCUU